UACAGAGGUGGCAAGCGUUGUUCGGAAUUACUGGGCGUAAAGGGCGCGUAGGCGGCCUUCUAAGUCAGACGUGAAAUCCCCCGGCUUAACCUGGGAACUGCGUCUGAUACUGGAAGGCCUGAGUGCGGGAGAGGGAUGUGGAAUUCCAGGUGUAGCGGUGAAAUGCGUAGAUAUCUGGAGGAACACCGGUGGCGAAGGCGGCAUCCUGGACCGACACUGACGCUGAGGCGCGAAAGCUAGGGUAGCAAACGGG
RNAcentral lists this ribosomal RNA (253 nucleotides) under uncultured bacterium. Its description in RNAcentral is "partial 16S ribosomal RNA". It matches the Rfam family "Bacterial small subunit ribosomal RNA", at positions 524 to 776 of the family's 1533-position model. The record is from RNAcentral.